CAAUUACCUUCAGAGACGAGCCAGAUCUCCUGAUGUGAGACCACAACAGAAGACAUCAAACCUCAGCAGAAAUCAGUUGGACUCCAUAUUCAAGGAGCUGGAACACAAAGUCCUCACUCUGAUAAAGAAUGAGCUGAAGAGGUUUAGGAAGCUCCUGAGUGCAGAUUUCCCAGCAUGCACUGAGAGGGAGGUGCAGGAUGAGCAGGAUCUGCACAGUGUCAGAGACGGAGCGCUGAAGAUCACACUGCACGUCCUGAAGAACAUGAACCACACAGAUCUCGCUAACACACUGCACAACAAACUCGCCUCUGUGUAUCAGCCAAAGCUGAAAUCCAGCCUGAGAGAGAAGUUUAUAAGAAUUAAUGAAGGAAUCUCACAGCAUGGAAGCUCAGCACUUCUGAAUGAAGAUCUACACAGAGCUCUACAUCACAGAGGGUGGGAGUGGAGACGUCAAUAAUGAACAUGAGGUGAGACAGAUUGAGACAGCGUCCAGGAGAC
This is a long non-coding RNA of Ictalurus punctatus (channel catfish), 498 nucleotides long. The record is from Ensembl. Lineage: Eukaryota; Metazoa; Chordata; Actinopteri; Siluriformes; Ictaluridae.